Saccostrea cuccullata (small rock oyster) is the source of this 248-nucleotide long non-coding RNA. RefSeq lists it as uncharacterized. The record is from RefSeq and is a predicted model, not a curated record. The transcript has 4 exons. NCBI's taxonomy places the organism in Eukaryota, Metazoa, Mollusca, Bivalvia, Ostreida, Ostreidae.
UUUUCUUUUUUACACAGGUUAGAUAGUGAGGGAUUAGAUCUUCUAUCAAAGCUGCUUCUGUAUGAAGCUAAGAAGAGAUCCUCUGCUGCUGAAGGAAUGAGACACGCCUUCUUCAACAGUUUCGGACCAAGUGUUCACCGACUGCCCGACACUGUCUCCAUUUUUACUGUACCCGGUAUUGUUUUACAUAAAGACCCAGGAAUGAGAUCUUCUUCCCUGGCAAAUUCAGGGAAAAUUCGUCGACAGAG